UGGGGAAUUUUGGACAAUGGGCGAAAGCCUGAUCCAGCAAUGCCGCGUGUGUGAAGAAGGCCUUCGGGUUGUAAAGCACUUUUGUCCGGAAAGAAAUCCUUGGCUCUAAUACAGUCGGGGGAUGACGGUACCGGAAGAAUAAGCACCGGCUAACUACGUGCCAGCAGCCGCGGUAAUACGUAGGGUGCAAGCGUUAAUCGGAAUUACUGGGCGUAAAGCGUGCGCAGGCGGUUUGCUAAGACCGAUGUGAAAUCCCCGGGCUCAACCUGGGAACUGCAUUGGUGACUGGCAGGCUAGAGUAUGGCAGAGGGGGGUAGAAUUCCACGUGUAGCAGUGAAAUGCGUAGAGAUGUGGAGGAAUACCGAUGGCGAAGGCAGCCCCCUGGGAUGAUACUGACGCUCAUGCACGAAAGCGUGGGGAGCAAACAGGAUUAGAUACCCUGGUAGUCCCACGCCUAACCGAAUGCGUACAACUAAGCUGGUUGGGGUUUGGAUUUAAUCCACUUAGUAGCGCAGCUAACGCGUGAAGUUGACCGCCUGGGGAGUACGGUCGCAAGAUUAAAACUCAAAGGAAUUGACGGGGUCAUAGCUG
Molecule: ribosomal RNA, 591 nt
Filed under: uncultured bacterium
Lineage: Bacteria
Description: partial 16S ribosomal RNA
Rfam family: Bacterial small subunit ribosomal RNA
Source: RNAcentral